Molecule: ribosomal RNA, 493 nt
Filed under: uncultured bacterium
Lineage: Bacteria
Description: bacterial SSU rRNA
Rfam family: Bacterial small subunit ribosomal RNA
Source: RNAcentral
GGCGGCGCGUCUUAAGCAUGACAAGUCGAACGGACAAGAGGUAGCAAUACCUCCUAGAGUGGCGGACUGGUGAGUAACACGUGGGUGACAUACCCUUCAGAUGGGAUAGCUAUUAGAAAUAGUAGAUAAUACCGAAUACGAGCACAGGGGUUAGAGAUCUGUGAGGAAAGGAGCUAAGGCUCCGCUGAAGGAAUGGCCUGCGGCCCAUUAGCUAGUUGGUGAGGUAAGAGCCCACCAAGGCGAUGAUGGGUAUCCGGCCCUUAGAGGGUGAACGGACACAUUGGGACUGAGAUACGGCCCAGACUCCUACGGGAGGCAGCAGCUAAGAAUAUUCCGCAAUGGACGAAAGUCUGACGGAGCGACGCCGCGUGGAUGAAGAAGGCCGGAAGGUUGUAAAAUCCUUUUGAAACUGAAGAAUAAGCGUUGUAGGGAAUGACAGCGUGGUGACAGUAGGUUUUGAAUAAGCAACGGCUAAUUACGUGCCAGCAGCUGC